Molecule: unclassified non-coding RNA, 325 nt
Filed under: uncultured fungus
Lineage: Eukaryota; Fungi
Description: partial contains 5.8S ribosomal RNA and internal transcribed spacer 2
Rfam family: 5.8S ribosomal RNA (bases 1-133)
Source: RNAcentral
UGGUUCUGGCAUCGAUGAAGAACGCAGCGAAAUGCGAUAAGUAAUGCGAAUUGCAGAAUUCCGUGAGUCAUCGAAUCUUUGAACGCACAUUGCGCCCUAUGGUAUUCCGUAGGGCAUGCCUGUUCGAGCGUCAUUAUCAACCUUCAAGCCUGGCUUGCUGUUGAACCACGACGGGAAACCGUCGGGUUCCAAAGACAACGACGGUGGUGGUCAGCCCCCUGGUACAAUGAGCUUUCACGAGCACGUACUGUGGUGGACUGGCCUGCCCCGGUCUCUCGAUAUUAUUUCUUAGGUUGACCUCGGAUCAGGUAGGGAUACCCGCUGA